AGAGUUUGAUCCUGGCUCAGAUUGAACGCUGGCGGCAGGCCUAACACAUGCAAGUCGAGCGGAUGAAGGGAGCUUGCUCCCGGAUUCAGCGGCGGACGGGUGAGUAAUGCCUAGGAAUCUGCCUGGUAGUGGGGGACAACGUUCCGAAAGGAGCGCUAAUACCGCAUACGUCCUACGGGAGAAAGUGGGGGAUCUUCGGACCUCACGCUAUCAGAUGAGCCUAGGUCGGAUUAGCUAGUAGGUGGGGUAAUGGCUCACCUAGGCGACGAUCCGUAACUGGUCUGAGAGGAUGAUCAGUCACACUGGAACUGAGACACGGUCCAGACUCCUACGGGAGGCAGCAGUGGGGAAUAUUGGACAAUGGGCGAAAGCCUGAUCCAGCCAUGCCGCGUGUGUGAAGAAGGUCUUCGGAUUGUAAAGCACUUUAAGUUGGGAGGAAGGGCAGUAAGUUAAUACCUUGCUGUUUUGAC
This 470-nucleotide ribosomal RNA is filed under the name Pseudomonas sp. S-18-25-1. RNAcentral describes it as "bacterial SSU rRNA". It matches the Rfam family "Bacterial small subunit ribosomal RNA", at positions 8 to 473 of the family's 1533-position model. Lineage: Bacteria; Pseudomonadati; Pseudomonadota; Gammaproteobacteria; Pseudomonadales; Pseudomonadaceae. The record is from RNAcentral.